AUUAUAUUAGUAUAAUUAAAGUACAUUUAACUUCCAAUUAAAAAGUUUCAUUAAAUAUAA
Molecule: transfer RNA, 60 nt
Filed under: Ixodes woyliei
Lineage: Eukaryota; Metazoa; Arthropoda; Arachnida; Ixodida; Ixodidae
Description: tRNA-Gly
Source: RNAcentral